CAGCCGUAAACUAUGCGCGUUAGGUGUACUGGUGACCACGAGUCACCGGGUGCCGAAGGGAAACCGUGAAACGUGCCGCCUGGGAAGUACGGUCGCAAGGCUGAAACUUAAAGGAAUUGGCGGGGGAGGCGACCACAACGGGUGGAGCCUGCGGUUUAAUUGGACUUCAACGCCGGAAAUCUCACCGGAUAGGACAGACAAAUGAUAGUCGGGCUGAAGACUCUACUUGAUGAUCUGAGAGGAGGUGCAUGGCGUCAG
This 258-nucleotide ribosomal RNA is filed under the name uncultured archaeon. RNAcentral describes it as "partial 16S ribosomal RNA". It matches the Rfam family "Archaeal small subunit ribosomal RNA", at positions 748 to 1003 of the family's 1478-position model. The record is from RNAcentral.